Molecule: long non-coding RNA, 428 nt
Organism: Catharus ustulatus (Swainson's thrush)
Lineage: Eukaryota; Metazoa; Chordata; Aves; Passeriformes; Turdidae
Exons: 3
Source: RefSeq, a predicted model, not a curated record
CAGAAAAAUGUCUGCUCUCACAGAGAUUAAAAAUUGAAGCUAAGUUAUCAAUGUAAAAUUACUGAGAAAUAAUGAAAAGUAUCAACCAUUGUGCACCAAACUGCUGGCACCGAGACCCCAUAACAUGCCCUUGUUUGUGACCUGCUGUGGCACUCCCAGCUGAUAGCUCCCUUCAGCAAACCAUCCCUCCUCUUCAGCUUUGCCUCUGGAACAAAGAGUCCACUGAAGUUUGUGUGAAAUACGAGGUUUGAGCUGGAUUGGGCAGCACUCUCCUGGUGUGAAAUCCAUGACUUUGUGGUGGUCUUUACACUUGCAUAACUCGCCACAGGUGUUCCUGCCUUGCUUCAUUUGGAAGGACUAGCACAAGCACAAGACAAAUUAGUGUCUGCUGAACUCAUUACUGAACUGCUGGGCUUUCUUGCACAAAC